CCUCCUUUGUCGAGAGUUGGUUGGGGGGUGUCCCCUCUUUAAAGGAUAAUGCGGUUUUUGGAAAGUUUCAAUACUUUUAGUUAACAUUAUCA
Molecule: ribosomal RNA, 92 nt
Filed under: Fervidobacterium pennivorans
Lineage: Bacteria; Thermotogati; Thermotogota; Thermotogae; Thermotogales; Fervidobacteriaceae
Description: partial 23S ribosomal RNA
Source: RNAcentral